CGAUGGGUACUAGGUGUCUGGGGGAGCGACCCCCUCGGGUGCCGGCGCUAACGCAUGAAGUACCCCGCCUGGGAGUACGGCCGCAAGGCUGAAACUCAAAGGAAUUGACGGGGCCCGCACAAGCGGUGGAGCAUGUGGUUAAUUCGACGCAACGCGAAGAACCUUACCUGGGCUUGACAUGCUGGAGAAAGCUUGCGGAAACGUGAGCCCCUCUUCGGAGUCCAGCACAGAUGCUGCAUGGCUGUCGUCAGCUCGUGUCGUGAGAUGUUGGGUUAAGUCCCGCAACGAGCGCAACCCUCACUCUUAGUUACCAGCGGGGUAAAGCCGGGGACUCUAGGGGGACUGCCGGUGCCAAACCGGAGGAAGGUGGGGAUGACGUCAAGUCAUCAUGGCUCUUACGUCCAGGGCUACACACGUGCUACAAUGGGC
RNAcentral lists this ribosomal RNA (429 nucleotides) under uncultured bacterium. RNAcentral's name for it is "bacterial SSU rRNA". It matches the Rfam family "Bacterial small subunit ribosomal RNA", at positions 807 to 1235 of the family's 1533-position model. The record is from RNAcentral.